CCUACGGGCGGCAGCAGUGAGGAAUAUUGGUCAAUGGCCGGAAGGCUGAACCAGCCAAGCCGCGUGAGGGAGGAAGGUGCAGAGGGUCGUAGACCUCUUUUGUCGGGGGACAAAAGGCCGGACGCGUCCGGUUCUGAGGGUACCCGGAGAAAAAGCAUCGGCUAACUCCGUGCCAGCAGCCGCGGUAAUACGGAGGAUGCGAGCGUUAUCCGGAUUUAUUGGGUUUAAAGGGUGCGCAGGCGGGCCAUUAAGUCGGCGGUGAAAUCGCGGGGCUCAACCCCGUCGAGCCGUUGAAACUGGGGGCCUUGAGUGCGUGAGAAGCAUGCGGAAUGCGCGGUGUAGCGGUGAAAUGCAUAGAUAUCGCGCAGAACCCCGAUUGCGAAGGCAGCAUGCCGUGGCGCCACUGACGCUGAUGCACGAAAGCGCGGGUAUCGAACAGGAUUAGAUACCCUAGUAGUC
This 459-nucleotide ribosomal RNA is filed under the name uncultured bacterium. RNAcentral's name for it is "partial 16S ribosomal RNA". It matches the Rfam family "Bacterial small subunit ribosomal RNA", at positions 338 to 795 of the family's 1533-position model. The record is from RNAcentral.